UAGGGAAUAUUGGGCAAUGGACGCAAGUCUGACCCAGCCAUCCCGCGUGCAGGAUGAAGGCCCUCUGGGUCGUAAACUGCUUUUGUUGGGGAAGAAAAAAGGAUACGUGUAUCCUAUUGCCGGUACCCAACGAAUAAGCACCGGCUAACUCCGUGCCAGCAGCCGCGGUAAUACGGAGGGUGCAAGCGUUAUCCGGAUUCACUGGGUUUAAAGGGUGCGUAGGCGGUUUGAUAAGUCAGUGGUGAAAGCUCGCAGCUUAACUGUGAAACUGCCAUUGAAACUGUCUAACUUGAGUACAAGGGAAGUAGGCGGAAUACAUCAUGUAGCGGUGAAAUGCUUAGAUAUGAUGUAGAACACCGAUUGCGAAGGCAGCUUACUACCUUGUCACUGACGCUGAGGCACGAAAGCAUGGGGAGCAAACAGG
This 424-nucleotide ribosomal RNA is filed under the name uncultured bacterium. RNAcentral's name for it is "bacterial SSU rRNA". It matches the Rfam family "Bacterial small subunit ribosomal RNA", at positions 355 to 776 of the family's 1533-position model. The record is from RNAcentral.